GUUAAUUUUAGCAUAUUAUGCGGUCCGCAGCAGCGCUGGAUGGCGCAACACCCGCUGGCCGCAGGCCCUGAUUUGUUGGUACGCAACGACACGACUCGCGACAGUGAGACACCGCGAGCCCAGCCGGCAGACCUCAGCGCGGUUCCGCGCUAGACGAGGCCUGCUGCGCGUAAACACAGCAACAAGGCUCCCACACGGUGCCUAAAACAGGCAGAGUCCGGCAGAGCGAAACCGGGCCGAUCAGUUCGCAGCGAACGAGCCACAAAACUCGCAGACGGUGACCUGACGUCAAGGUACCGCACGAGUCGCUUACCUCACUCUACAAAUGUCGCCCUUUUUGCAACUUGUAAACAAAUCGUACGCGUCCAUGAUGUCGGCGUCUUCGGUCCUCUACGAUGCAUUGAGACGGCCUGUCUGCUUGACAGGAUAUGUUCAAAUUUGGCCUCCAUUAUAGCCAAUAGAAAGAAGGCCUAAAAAACGUGGGGGGUCCACCACCACCACUCACAGAGGCUGAAGAGAUGGCCCUCAGUCAAAAGAGUGGGCGACCUAUUACUGAAGGCAUCUCUGGAGGAGCUCAUCUGACCGCCCCCCCCCCCCCCCACCCCCAGGACACAAGGGCCUACAUCAGAGUUCCUGACGGUGUAAUCUGUCUGGCGGAGCCUUCUGCCAUAAUAGACCUCUAUGCAGCUGAAAUAAGCCUCGGCUGCACGCCAAGAGAGGGAGCGUGGCCUGUGGGAGAGCAGCACUCCAG
Lampris incognitus (smalleye Pacific opah) is the source of this 751-nucleotide long non-coding RNA. RefSeq lists it as uncharacterized. The transcript is spliced from 4 exons. The record is from RefSeq and is a predicted model, not a curated record. NCBI's taxonomy places the organism in Eukaryota, Metazoa, Chordata, Actinopteri, Lampriformes, Lampridae.